RNAcentral lists this long non-coding RNA (1522 nucleotides) under Felis catus (domestic cat). Its description in RNAcentral is "lncRNA (ENSFCAG00000048089.1)". The record is from RNAcentral. Lineage: Eukaryota; Metazoa; Chordata; Mammalia; Carnivora; Felidae.
AUGGGUCUCCCACUGAUAGGGCAGAAGCCCAGCCUCACACACAUGCCCAGCCUCCCCUCUUGGGAUCUCAAACCUUCUGUUUUUAGGAAGGCCUUCCCGGUGUCUACCCUGAAGCCCACCUGUUGUAACUUGGGCUCAGGUUUGUUUGUGUCUUUGUUCAGUGGUAAGAAAUUUGAUGCCCGGUGCAGUCGCCUCUCAGGACCCCAUCUGAUGAUGCUUUCUGCUGUGGCUUGGGAGAACAAGAUGUCUCUGGAGGAAGAGUGUGCCUUCCAACCUGGAAAGGCACACAGUCAGACCCAGAUAGGACAUUCUUCUCGAAGACUCCAAAGACCUCACUGGACCUUGCUCCAUACUCAGUUUUGCUGUGGCAGAGGGAAGGGCAGGUGCGCAGGGCUGGAUGUGGGUUGCGGGGAGCUUGGGGGGUGUCAGGGUCUGGUAGAGGGACCCAGUUGUCUGCCACCUUGUCACAAUCUCCGAGGAGCUCAAGCAAGAGACCUAGAGGGUAGACCUUGGGAGGCCUGAAUUGCUGGGGUCCAGUUUUAAUCAGGGAUGGGAAAGCAGACUGAGGGUGUGACUUUUCUUUCACUCAGUUCCAGCCGAAGGCCUCCCCUCACCCAAGAUGCUAGGGAAGGGGUCUGGGGGGCCAGGGAAACCCAGAAGCCAUGGUGGGAAUGCCUGAUUUCUGAUGUGGGAAUCCUGAUGUGGGAUUCCUAGGGCUUCUGUGGAAGUUUCCACUGAACAAGAGGUGACGGGACUGCUGGGUUCCCAGGACCAUGGGAGCCAUAUACUGUAUGUAGUAGAGACAUCCACUGAUGUCUCUGGUUGGGCAGAUCUGGUUGGGUCUGAGCGGGGAAGAGGGUUGGAGGGUUGGGAGGGAAGACACCCAGGCUCGUUCCCCUAGCGCACGAGAGGAGAGUAACACCCAGGAGCUGACUUAGCACUAGCUGGAAGAGGUUGUUCAGAGCAGGGAGAAACAGAGGGAAGAGAAACCAAGGGCUUCCCAUCGGGAAGGCCUCAUGGAAUGGGGAGAGUGGGCACAGGACUGGAAAGGAAGGGAGGGGUGGAGUGGUGGGCUCUCACAGGAGGCGAGGGAGGGGGGCGGGUGUGCCCCCCUUGAAGGUCGGGAGGCGGGUGUCCUGGCCAGGCGGGGUUCCACCUGCAGAGUGGCUGGAGGUUGGAAUCUCUGUGUGUCAGAAGUUGCCGGAAACACAAGUGUAAACGUGGAGUUGGGAGGUUUGGCGACUCCAGGCCCUCCAUCUUGAGCAAUUCACACCCACUUCUAGUGUCUUCUUCCUCUAAGCGUGGAGGGUAAGAACAUCAAGCAUUCUUGAGUGUUACAAAAGCUUCUCUGGUGGGUGAGAAGACCACUGGGCAGGGCGGGGUGGGGGGGGUAGGCUGUUUGGGCCUCGAUUUAGUGGAUUUCAGCAGGUGUCAGGCCUCCGUUGUAUGUGAGAGGGCAAACUCGGGUGGGGGCCGGACAGCACUCCGGCCCAGUUCUGCCCCUAGCUGGCCCCUCCUACAG